UGAGGAAUAUUGGGCAAUGCCCGCAAGGGUGACCCAGCAACGCCGCGUGGAGGAUGAAUGUCGUAAGAUUGUAAACUCCUGUUAGAGGGGAAGAAUAGUACCGGUUGGACCGGUAUAUGACUGUACCCUCAGAAGAAGCCCCGGCUAACUUCGUGCCAGCAGCCGCGGUAAUACGAAGGGGGCUAGCGUUACUCGGAAUGACUGGGCGUAAAGGGCGCGUAGGCGGUUUGGACAGUUAGGCGUGAAAUUCCUGGGCUCAACCUGGGGGCUGCGCUUAAUACAUCCAGACUUGAAUGUGGAAGAGGGUCGUGGAAUUCCCAGUGUAGAGGUGAAAUUCGUAGAUAUUGGGAAGAACACCGGUGGCGAAGGCGGCGACCUGGUCCAUUACUGACGCUGAGGCGCGAAAGCGUGGGGAGCAAACA
This 422-nucleotide ribosomal RNA is filed under the name uncultured bacterium. RNAcentral describes it as "bacterial SSU rRNA". It matches the Rfam family "Bacterial small subunit ribosomal RNA", at positions 355 to 774 of the family's 1533-position model. The record is from RNAcentral.